Molecule: ribosomal RNA, 1136 nt
Filed under: Enterococcus faecium
Lineage: Bacteria; Bacillati; Bacillota; Bacilli; Lactobacillales; Enterococcaceae
Description: bacterial SSU rRNA
Rfam family: Bacterial small subunit ribosomal RNA
Source: RNAcentral
CGGCCCAAAUUCCUACGGGAGGCAGCAUUAGGGAUUUUCGGCAAUGACGAAAGUUUGACCGAGCAACGCCGCGGAAUGAAGAAGGUUUUCGGAUCGUAAAACUCUGUUGUUAGAGAAGAACAAGGAUGAGAGUAACUGUUCAUCCCUUGACGGUAUCUAACCAGAAAGCCACGGCUAACUACGUGCCAGCAGCCGCGGUAAUACGUAGGUGGCAAGCGUUGUCCGGAUUUAUUGGGCGUAAAGCGAGCGCAGGCGGUUUCUUAAGUCUGAUGUGAAAGCCCCCGGCUCAACCGGGGAGGGUCAUUGGAAACUGGGAGACUUGAGUGCAGAAGAGGAGAGUGGAAUUCCAUGUGUAGCGGUGAAAUGCGUAGAUAUAUGGAGGAACACCAGUGGCGAAGGCGGCUCUCUGGUCUGUAACUGACGCUGAGGCUCGAAAGCGUGGGGAGCAAACAGGAUUAGAUACCCUGGUAGUCCACGCCGUAAACGAUGAGUGCUAAGUGUUGGAGGGUUUCCGCCCUUCAGUGCUGCAGCUAACGCAUUAAGCACUCCGCCUGGGGAGUACGACCGCAAGGUUGAAACUCAAAGGAAUUGACGGGGGCCCGCACAAGCGGUGGAGCAUGUGGUUUAAUUCGAAGCAACGCGAAGAACCUUACCAGGUCUUGACAUCCUUUGACCACUCUAGAGAUAGAGCUUCCCCUUCGGGGGCAAAGUGACAGGUGGUGCAUGGUUGUCGUCAGCUCGUGUCGUGAGAUGUUGGGUUAAGUCCCGCAACGAGCGCAACCCUUAUUGUUAGUUGCCAUCAUUCAGUUGGGCACUCUAGCAAGACUGCCGGUGACAAACCGGAGGAAGGUGGGGAUGACGUCAAAUCAUCAUGCCCCUUAUGACCUGGGCUACACACGUGCUACAAUGGGAAGUACAACGAGUUGCGAAGUCGCGAGGCUAAGCUAAUCUCUUAAAGCUUCUCUCAGUUCGGAUUGCAGGCUGCAACUCGCCUGCAUGAAGCCGGAAUCGCUAGUAAUCGCGGAUCAGCACGCCGCGGUGAAUACGUUCCCGGGCCUUGUACACACCGCCCGUCACACCACGAGAGUUUGUAACACCCGAAGUCGGUGAGGUAACCUUUGGAGCCAGCCGCGUAA